RNAcentral lists this RNase P RNA (416 nucleotides) under Novosphingobium sp. ERN07. RNAcentral describes it as "RNase P RNA component class A". It matches the Rfam family "Bacterial RNase P class A". From Rfam's summary of the family: Ribonuclease P (RNase P) is a ubiquitous endoribonuclease, found in archaea, bacteria and eukarya as well as chloroplasts and mitochondria. Its best characterised activity is the generation of mature 5'-ends of tRNAs by cleaving the 5'-leader elements of precursor-tRNAs. Lineage: Bacteria; Pseudomonadati; Pseudomonadota; Alphaproteobacteria; Sphingomonadales; Sphingomonadaceae. The record is from RNAcentral.
CCAGGGGGCCGGGCAGCCGCGUUGUCAUAUGACACCGAGGAAAGUCCGGGCUCCACGAAACAAGGGUGGCGGGUAACGCCCGCCGGGCUGGAAGCGUAAACUGAAGGUCAAGGGAAAGUGCCACAGAGAGCAGACCGCCUGAUGGUCGCAAGACCGGACGGUAAGGGUGAAAGGGUGCGGUAAAAGCGCACCGCGCGACCGGCAACGGAAGCGGCACGGCAAACCCCACCCGGAGCAAGAUCGAAUAGGGACUGCGCGCCCAGCAAUGGGCAGGCCUGUUUCGGGCCAGCAGUCCGGGUUGAUUGCUUGAGCGUUCCGGCAACGGUCCGCCUAGAGGAAUGGCUGCCAGCGGCGAUACGGUCCUGUAUGGGAUACCGUCGGCGCUACAGAACCCGGCUUACAGGCCCCCUGGCGCA